Non-coding RNA from Vicia faba (fava bean), 173 nucleotides. NCBI's taxonomy places the organism in Eukaryota, Viridiplantae, Streptophyta, Magnoliopsida, Fabales, Fabaceae. The record is from the annotation of a GenBank genome assembly.
CAAUGAUUGUUUUAUAUAGUCCUGAGAUUAGGGUUUCUUGUCGUAAUCGAUUUUGGACAGGCUUGCUUGUUAUUGGCUUUCACCAAUUCUACUUGUCAUCCUUCUUAUUUGUGAUUUUUUGUGACGUAUGUAUUGUUGUAGCAACUCUGUUAUUAGGCUUUAGCAAAUUCUGA